AUUGAACGCUGGCGGCAGGCCUAACACAUGCAAGUCGAGCGAGCGGCGGACGAGUGAGUACUGUAAGGGGACUGCCCGAGAGAGGGGGAUAACUACUGGAAACGGUAGCAAAUAACGCAUACAAUCGGAAAACACAUAUGGGAUUAGCUAGUAGGUGAGGUAAUGGCUCACCUAGGCGAAGAUCCCUAGCUGGUCUGAGAGGAUGAUCAGCCACACUUGGACUGAGACACGGCCCAGACUCGUACGGAGGCAGCAGUGGGGAAUAUUGCACAAUGGGCGCAAGCCUGAUGCAGCCAUGCCGCGUGUAUGAAGAAGGCCCUAGGGUUGUAAAGUACUUUCAGUCGGGAGGCGUUACCGACAGAAGAAGCACCGGCUAACUCCGUGCCAGCAGCCGCGGUAAUUC
Molecule: ribosomal RNA, 403 nt
Filed under: uncultured bacterium
Lineage: Bacteria
Description: partial 16S ribosomal RNA
Rfam family: Bacterial small subunit ribosomal RNA
Source: RNAcentral